RNAcentral lists this ribosomal RNA (329 nucleotides) under uncultured eukaryote. Its description in RNAcentral is "partial 18S ribosomal RNA". It matches the Rfam family "Eukaryotic small subunit ribosomal RNA", at positions 1470 to 1796 of the family's 1831-position model. The record is from RNAcentral.
CCCUUAGAUGUUCUGGGCCGCACGCGCGCUACACUGAUGCAUUCAACGAGUCUAAAACCUGCUCUGAUAGGGGUGGGCAAUCUUUUGAAUGUGCAUCGUGAUUGGGAUAGAUGAUUGCAAUUUUUCAUCUUCAACGAGGAAUGCCUAGUAAACGCAAGUCAUCAGCUUGCAUUGAUUACGUCCCUGCCCUUUGUACACACCGCCCGUCGCUCCUACCGAUUGAAUGAUCCGAUGAAUAUCAUGGAUUGAGGAUUAUAGCAGGUUCGCCUGUCUUGAUCUUCGAGAAGUGAAGUAAAUCCUAUCAUUUAGAGGAAGGAGAAGUCGUAACA